CACUAAGUUACCUUCAGUGAAUGCUGCCACAGCCAUAACCAGUCUGUCCAGCCCCAGGGGAACGUGGCUGACGAGAUAGGUGGAGGUGGGGCCCGUCCGGAACAAACUGCUCGGCCAGGAUCCCUGCAGGGGUGAGAGUGGAACUUGAAGUCAGGAAGGAAGUUGAAACAUGGGUGAAAAUGGCCUCCAGGAAACACAACAUGUGACUGAGGAUUCCAAAUCAUAAGCCGUAUGAAGAAGGACCCACUCUUUCUCAGGGGCGCUCACUCAGCAGACAAGACUUCAAGGACGUAACAUGAAGGCUUAUUUUAUGAGAACGACUACUCCAACCCUGGCCGUCAGGACUUCCACCCCCUCUCACUGGCUACAUGGGCUGCUUCACGUCUGAUGCAUGUACAGUUGAGCUUUCCACCCUUCCUCGAGAACUUCCACAUGUUUUAAAAAACAAGUCAAAUCGUAUUUAAAAGGCUUCUACUGAAAAGCAGCAGUCACGUGUUCCAUCCCUCCUCACCCACUAGUGAAACCACUUUAAUCCCUUUCCACUGUUUCUUCUGGUAUUUGCCGCCUGGAUUCUCGUUAAUUUGUGCAGGCGGCCAUUUGCUCAUUUAUCUUUGUCAGGCAUUAUCUACCAGCUUCCUGGAGCUCUCCCUCCUCCUCAACCCUUCACGUUCACUGUAGUCACAUGAUGUUCAUUUGCUUCAAUCAUUAGUUUCGUUAUUAUGGCUCUGUAGAUCCAAAGUCCUCAGGGCCCAUAAGCCCUAGCGAUCCCAGCUAUCUCUUUGACCUCUCCGACCUACCCCUCCAGCCCUGCCACACGGGGUCCCUUCCCUGGCCUUCCAUUUCUAAGCACAGAUCAUUCCUGCUUCAGGGCUUGGGCUGUCUGUUAUUUCCAGCAGCUUCCCGAACCAGAGCCAACAGGUCUCUUCUUCACUUUACUCAGGUUGCUGUUCAAAUGUUACUCUAGUCCCGGACUACUUUGUGUGAAGUAGCAGGCAUGUCCCCCUUUUCAAUCCAGGUAUAUAUUUUUUUUUAGGAAUUCAUUCAUUGUAUGUUUAUAAUUCACACCUGAUCACUACCUACCAAAUAGUAUCCAGGUAUACUUCUAAAUUUUCUUUAAAGCAUGGAUCGCUAUCUGAUAUUCCAUAUUGAUUUUUUUUUAAGCAUCCAGCUCUACCCACUGGAAUGUAGUCCCUGAAAGUAGGGAUUUGAUCUGUUUUGUUUUUGUUUUUAAAGAUUUUAUUUUUUUA
This is a non-coding RNA of Callorhinus ursinus (northern fur seal), 1247 nucleotides long. The record is from RefSeq and is a predicted model, not a curated record. NCBI's taxonomy places the organism in Eukaryota, Metazoa, Chordata, Mammalia, Carnivora, Otariidae.